AUUGAACGCUAGCGGGAUGCUUUACACAUGCAAGUCGAACGGCAGCGCGGACUUCGGUCUGGCGGCGAGUGGCGAACGGGUGAGUAAUGUAUCGGAACGUGCCCAGUAGCGGGGGAUAACUACGCGAAAGCGUAGCUAAUACCGCAUACGCCCUACGGGGGAAAGCAGGGGAUCGUAAGACCUUGCACUAUUGGAGCGGCCGAUAUCGGAUUAGCUAGUUGGUGAGGUAACGGCUCACCAAGGCGACGAUCCGUAGCUGGUUUGAGAGGACGACCAGCCACACUGGGACUGAGACACGGCCCAGGCUCCUACGGGAGGCAGCAGUGGGGAAUUUUGGACAAUGGGGGCAACCCUGAUCCAGCCAUCCCGCGUGUGCGAUGAAGGCCUUCGGGUUGUAAAGCACUUUUGGCAGGAAAGAAACGUCGCGGGCUAAUACCCCGUGGAACUGACGGUACCUGCAGAAUAAGCACCGGCUAACUACGUG
This 484-nucleotide ribosomal RNA is filed under the name uncultured bacterium. RNAcentral's name for it is "partial 16S ribosomal RNA". It matches the Rfam family "Bacterial small subunit ribosomal RNA", at positions 30 to 507 of the family's 1533-position model. The record is from RNAcentral.